Molecule: ribosomal RNA, 464 nt
Filed under: uncultured bacterium
Lineage: Bacteria
Description: bacterial SSU rRNA
Rfam family: Bacterial small subunit ribosomal RNA
Source: RNAcentral
GGGCCCGCACAAGCGGCGGAGCAUGUGGCUUAAUUCGAUGCAACGCGAAGAACCUUACCUAGGCUUGACAUGCAAGGAAAUCUCCCAGAGAUGGGAGGUCCGCAAGGGCUUUGCACAGGUGGUGCAUGGCUGUCGUCAGCUCGUGUCGUGAGAUGUUGGGUUAAGUCCCGCAACGAGCGCAACCCUCGUCCUAUGUUGCCAGCGAGUCAUGUCGGGGACUCAUAGGAGACCGCCGGGGUCAACUCGGAGGAAGGUGGGGAUGACGUCAAGUCAUCAUGCCCCUUAUGUCUAGGGCUGCACACAUGCUACAAUGGCCGGUACAAAGGGCUGCGAUACCGCAAGGUGGAGCGAAUCCCAUAAAGCCGGUCUCAGUUCGGAUUGGGGUCUGCAACUCGACCCCAUGAAGUCGGAGUCGCUAGUAAUCGCAGAUCAGCAACGCUGCGGUGAAUACGUUCCCGGGCCUU